GAUUAAUGAACGGUGUUUAUGGCUAUACUGGCAUUGAAAUCCUGACUCAUCCACUCUUGACCUGUGCACUUGUGCUACGUCGAGUCUCUUCAUGGAGAUCGACCUAAUCUACCUUUAUUUUAACUCUUAGUCUGAAAAUAUUAUUGAUAUAACGCAUUCAAUAUA
This 165-nucleotide unclassified non-coding RNA is filed under the name soil metagenome. RNAcentral describes it as "partial internal transcribed spacer 1". The record is from RNAcentral.